Molecule: ribosomal RNA, 415 nt
Filed under: uncultured eukaryote
Lineage: Eukaryota
Description: bacterial SSU rRNA
Rfam family: Eukaryotic small subunit ribosomal RNA
Source: RNAcentral
CAUUAGUGUAUAUUAAAGUUGUUGCGGUUAAAAAGCUCGUAGUUGGAUUUCUGUUGGGUAUCGUGAGGUCUGCUCCUCGAGUACGUAUCUUCAUCGAUCCUGGCAUCCUCGUAACGCUCUGUGGUAUUAAUUUAUUGCUUGGCUUACGACUUUUACUUUGAGGAAAUUAGAGUGUUCACGGCAGGCAUUUGCUUUGAAUAUAUUAGCAUGGAAUAAUAACAUAGGACUUCGGUUUUAUUUUGUUGGUUUCUAAGGCUGAAGUAAUGAUUAAUAGGGACAAUUGGGGGCACUCGUACAAACUCGUCAGAGGUGGAAUUCUUGGAUUGAGUUUUGACGAACUACUGCGAAAGCAUUUGCCAAGGAUGUUUUCAUUGAUCAAGAACGAAAGUUGGGGGAUCGAAGAUGAUUAGAUACC